RNAcentral lists this ribosomal RNA (253 nucleotides) under uncultured bacterium. RNAcentral describes it as "partial 16S ribosomal RNA". It matches the Rfam family "Bacterial small subunit ribosomal RNA", at positions 524 to 776 of the family's 1533-position model. The record is from RNAcentral.
UACAGAGGUCUCAAGCGUUGUUCGGAAUCAUUGGGCGUAAAGGGCGCGUAGGCGGUUCGUACAGUCAGACGUGAAAUUCCUGGGCUCAACCUGGGGGCUGCGUUUGAUACGUGCGGACUUGAGUGCGGAAGAGGGUCGUGGAAUUCCCAGUGUAGAGGUGAAAUUCGUAGAUAUUGGGAAGAACACCGGUGGCGAAGGCGGCGACCUGGUCCGAUACUGACGCUGAGGCGCGAAAGCGUGGGGAGCAAACAGG